This is a long non-coding RNA of Gasterosteus aculeatus aculeatus (three-spined stickleback), 1315 nucleotides long. The record is from Ensembl. NCBI's taxonomy places the organism in Eukaryota, Metazoa, Chordata, Actinopteri, Perciformes, Gasterosteidae.
GUUUUGAGUAAACAUGUGAUCUCUGUUCCCCUUUUUAAAUAAAGCAUAUUAGAUAUUCAUACAAUUGAGAGGCGAUAUCAUCCAACAACACACCCACACACACACUUAUAUAAAAACUUGCAGUCGGCAAAUGAGUUUCACACACUGCAAUCGAUCAACUCUACAGGUGUAACACCAGGGCAGCGGGUUUUGAUUCCGACGAGUUGCUCCACGCGAGGUUCGCUUCGCAGAGGUUUGGUUCGUGACCUCCGAGAAGACGUCUCAUACGCAGACACUCACUGCGGACAAAGGGUAUAAAUAUCAGAAGACAUCAUCUAAUACCCUCAGCCGUGCAAAUCCAUCCAUGUGUAUGAUAUGCCUCCAUUCUGGGAUAAGGUCAGAAUUAAAUUGGGCUCCCACUGCAGGGAGAAUGACAAUAUUUGCUAUUCUUGAGAUCAUUAUCUCCGAUUUCAUCAGGGCAUGAGGUAAACCAAAAUUGCAAGAGCACACGCUGUCACUGUACGUACAAAUCAAGCACCGCCGAGAUUAGUGACGCUUCCUCACCGACUUUAUGAAAUAUAUGCCAGAGUGUAUACGUGAGCAAGGGGGAGCGAAUGCUUACAUUUUUUUUUUUUGAUCGUUAACUAAACAAUAUUUGGUUGUUGCUAAGUGACCGUGAGGAUGAUUCAACCUCCCUCAGGCAAAGGGACAUGCCAACGUGAAUGAAUAAUACUGAGCAGACCGGCCCAACUCAGAAGGAAAAUGGUGUUGUUAUGAGCCCAGUGAUGUAGCUGUUAUUGUUCGCUGCAUACGAUGCUUCUCUGUCACAGACAACGACGUCCUCGCAACACUUUAAAAGAGACUUUGUGCCUUCGGCUGAUUCUUUUAUUUUCACUGCCUACAUUCAUCGGCUAAUUUCAGUAUUUCUAAGACUUAAUUUGAAACCUUGAGGGUCGUGCGAUGCUUGUGGAGGAGGUUUGUGUCGCCAGAUGAAAUGCUAUUAAAUCUCUUGCUACUGAUGUUUCUUUCCUUACACAUUGAGCUAGCAGCUCAAUAGAUGAAUGAUCUUAUCUAAUUGUGUUUCUGAGUGAAGCCGUGAUGUCAGUCGAGGUGAAAUGCUGAGAAGCGCUGACGGACGCGCAUAAACCACAAGAAUGAGAAAUAAGAGGUUUCGAGCGGCAAAAGAAGUUUGAGUAAGCGGAGAACUCGCACAGUUGUUGUCCAAACGCACCAACAACUAGCGAGCUGCCUCAAGGUACGAGGCUUUAGUGCGGGAAGAGACGGGUCCUGUGUGUUUCAUCGCCUUUGUUUGCAGGAGAAGUGAACUGUACUCGAU